GCUAUCUGAGUGAUGUCUGAGUGACAUAGAUAAAAAUUAUACUAUGACGGUCCUAAUCUGUCUACAAAAACAGUGAAGUUUCAUUAAAUUGUAUUCAAUUUAUCAAAUUUAAUUGAAAUACGCAUAUUAUUUUUGUGCUUAAGCAUUACAGUUGUAGGUACGGUUUUGAAAUAUUUAUUUAUGCAUUGUUUAAGUUGCGCAACCGCAACAUGGCGAUUAUGGCUCAGCUGCUCGGAUUGUUGCAGUGAAAUUUUUCAAUGAUAGGGUUCUGCGACGACGUUACGCUCUAAUAAACUUUAAGUUGUUAUUCGUUCUUAGAGUACAGUUAGUUGUAAUCCGUCGGUUAUCACCGCGCAUUGUGAUGAGACAGUUUGUGAUUGUGUGUGGCUAAGGCGCGGGACUCGUUGAGACUACAGUGCUGUUACUUUUUGUUGAGAAGUAAGUCGGAGAGAAUCCGUCAAGCUGGAGCGAUUACCGGAGUACCUGCGUGACACCGUCGACUGGUUCAUGGGGUGAGUCGCAUGCUCGCUCGCUCUCCACUGUACGUGAGUGCGGCCCCGCGGGCGCCACGUGCAUGACUCUAUCAUGCUGGACUGCCUCUGGUAAGUCCUGUGCUGUCCGCGUCUCACUUGACCCUGACUUGUUUUCCUUUCUCAUUAACACUUUGUUCAUGAUCUUCAAAAAGUUCAUGUGCAAUCCAGUUGAAUGGCGAAGUAUUUAUAAACAAGUAAUAAUGUCCCAUAGGACCUAAAAUACAUAUUUAAAAAGCGAGAGUAUUAGAGAUAGGUCGGGAAUAACUCCUUCAAUAACUCAAUAUUUUUUCUUGAGUAAACAAAAAUAUCAAUCGGCGAAAUUAAUCGUUACUUUUUUUUAACAAACAGUCUGUUAUUAUAUUAACACACAGUCUGUUAGACUCAUGGUUAACAUAGUUGCGAAAAGGAUCGGAAGAUGAUGAUGGCUACCAUCAUAGCAAGCUAUUUAUUCGGUUGUAUUAUGAGUAACUACUGGGGUAGCGUGGCUGUCCGAUGCCCGGGCCAUGAGACAAUUUCGACUGUAUUGUGUUGAGGUGCAUUUACUAAUCCUUGAAAAAUUGUGGGCAUAUCAAUCAGAUAUGGCUGAAAAUUCUGAUUUUGGUUUUCAGGCCAACAAUCGUAAAUACCAACUUCACUACAACCAAUGUACAGAACCGAUUUUAAUUCAUUAGUGCGCCCGGUGCGAGACUCUUGAUUAUGGCCAAGGAAAAAAAUACGCGAACGAAGCGAACGUAUAUUUUUCUCGGUUCAAGAUCUGAAAAAGAAGUCGGGAAUUGAAAAGGGUCGAGGGGAGCUAGAUGCGUCUCUAGCUGAUGUAGCGCCCGUGUGCAUUCAUUACGCAGGCGACUCCUAAGUAUUGAAAGAACGUUUGUGGUACCUACAUAUCUAGAAGGGGUCCACCCUUUAUAUAUUGUUUUGAAUUGCACUCUAGGAGUAGGGCAAACAAGACUACGUGGAGUCGGUUUUGCAGCGAUUCGUUUU
This is a long non-coding RNA of Helicoverpa zea (corn earworm), 1514 nucleotides long. RefSeq lists it as uncharacterized. The record is from RefSeq and is a predicted model, not a curated record. Lineage: Eukaryota; Metazoa; Arthropoda; Insecta; Lepidoptera; Noctuidae. The transcript is spliced from 3 exons.